Molecule: long non-coding RNA, 444 nt
Filed under: Homo sapiens (human)
Lineage: Eukaryota; Metazoa; Chordata; Mammalia; Primates; Hominidae
Description: HSALNT0052041
Source: RNAcentral
CUAAAAUUUAAAAAAUUGGUAAGAGCCCUGAAUACACAUUUUUCCAAAAAAGAAAUACAAAUGGCCAACACGUACAUGAAAAAAAUGUUCAACAUUACUAUCAUCAGGGAACUGCAAAUCCAAACCAUAAAGAGAUACUGGAUGGCCAUUAUGAAAAGGACAAGAGAAAAGUAUUGGUGAGGAUGUGGAGAAAAGGGUGCCCUGUGCAAUUCUUGUGGGGAAUGUAAACUGGUAGAGCCACUAAGGAAACCAAUAUGGAGGCUCCUCAAAAAAUUAAAACUAGAACAUUGUUUUAGCAAUGCUACUUCUGGGUCUAUAUCCAAAGGAAUGGAAAUCAGAAUAUCAAAGAGAUAACUGCACUCCAUGUUAACUGCAGCAUUAUUCACAACAGCCAAGAUAUAGAAAUGACCUAAGUGCCCAUACACCUAUAAAUGAAUAAAGAAA